UAUUCUUUGUACACUGGAAUAACAGUUUUCUUGGUUGGGUCUAAACCGGACAAACCACUGACUGGCCAUUUAUUGCCCUCUUCUGCUCUGUGUGUUGCAACAUAUACAGAUCCAUUCCCUUCUAUCCUGUCAGAGACUUUGACAGCUCAGAGGAGAGCAAAACCUUUUUGCUACCAAAUUUUAAUCCACCCAGACACUGAACAAUAAUAGAUGAUGUGAAAGACUAUAGAGGAAAGAUAUUUGUGGAGUGGGCUCUGCUUGCAAAGAAUUCAUCAGUCAAUCAUCACAAUUAUGUAUCCCUUGCGUCAUGAAGAAGCACUAAAAUUGAUUUGGUCUUGGCAGGGAAAAUAUCUUUUAUCCAUAUCAGUUAGCUAAUUUAGGUCACCGUGAACGGGUAAUUAAUGCGCUGCUUUGUUGUAACAUGCUAUUAGGCUAUGUUGAUUUUAAGUAUAUUUGAUAAAGGAAUGCUACCGGAAUGGAUGCUUUGUUUCGUGAUUAGUGAAUUUGGUUGGUUGAGAUGUUGCCCUUCCAGGAUAUACAUGUGAGAAGCAGGAGCAAGCUGAAAGCUAAGCAAGCUGAAAGCUAAUCAAGCAGAAAGUUUGAUUAAUCCAGAAUGUCUUGACGAGGGUUCAAUGGUGGUGUCAAGAUCGGUGAAUAGAGUCUCUAUUAUCGUCCAUAAGCAAUUCUUAGAGGAAGAAAGAUGGACUUUCAAAAAAGACCUCACAAAUUAGAGAUUCAGAAGAACAUCUCAUGGAAUCUUGUGCUUUGACCUCGUGGAAAAGACCUUCAAAUUGCUCGGUUAAAAAAUUCCUCCGACCUUGCCACUUGAUUAUGACUUUAUUGGUGGCAAAUUGAUGAAAUCUGGCAGUCUGCCAUAGGUGCAUUUAUUGACAUUGCUGAUAUUGAUGGUUGUCAAUAAUGGACAUACAAUCACUAUCUUUGUGAUGAAUUUUUAUCCUCAUUUUUCUUUAGAUUUCUUAUAAUUUCGAUUCUGAGAGCAUUUGAAA
This is an RNA transcript of Carica papaya (papaya), 1007 nucleotides long. It is a transcript of the gene named pentatricopeptide repeat-containing protein At4g21065 pseudogene, with no coding region annotated. Lineage: Eukaryota; Viridiplantae; Streptophyta; Magnoliopsida; Brassicales; Caricaceae. The record is from RefSeq and is a predicted model, not a curated record.